AUUAAACGCUGGCGGCAUGCCUUACACAUGCAAGUCGAACGGUAGCGCGGGGCAACCUGGCGACGAGUGGCGAACGGGUGAGUAAAGCAUCGGAACGUGCCCUGGAAUGGGGGAUAACGUAGCGAAAGUUACGCUAAUACCGCAUAUUCUGUGAGCAGGAAAGCAGGGGAUCGCAAGACCUUGCGUUCUGGGAGCGGCCGAUGUCGGAUUAGCUAGUUGGUGGGGUAAAAGCCUACCAAGGCUAAGACGGGUAGCUGGUCUGAGAGGACGACCGGCCUCACUGGAACUGAGACACGGUCCAGACACCUACGGGUGGCAGCAGUCGAGAAUUUUUCACAAUGGGCGAAAGCCUGAUGGAGCGACGCCGCGUGGGGGAUGAAGGGCUUCGGGCUCGUAAACCCCUGUCAUUUGCGAACAAAGGCGCCAACCUAACACGUUGUCGUCUGAUAGUAGCAGAAGAGGAAGGGACGGCUAACUCUGUGCCAGCAGCCGCGGUAAU
This 499-nucleotide ribosomal RNA is filed under the name uncultured bacterium. RNAcentral describes it as "bacterial SSU rRNA". It matches the Rfam family "Bacterial small subunit ribosomal RNA", at positions 29 to 524 of the family's 1533-position model. The record is from RNAcentral.